Brassica oleracea var. oleracea is the source of this 1716-nucleotide long non-coding RNA. RefSeq lists it as uncharacterized. The record is from RefSeq and is a predicted model, not a curated record. The transcript has 5 exons. Lineage: Eukaryota; Viridiplantae; Streptophyta; Magnoliopsida; Brassicales; Brassicaceae.
UGCGUUUCAUUUAUCGUCUUCAUGAACCAGGCAAUGUUUCUAGGGUUUGUCUCUUAUUCUGUCUUCAACACCAAAACAUUUCUUCUGUGUUCUGAAACCAAAACGAUGGACUGGCGAGGCGGAGAGAAAAAUAUAGAACGGCUGAGAGAUCAGAUAUUGUGAUGCGUUUUAGAAGCAUGGUCUGGAAAUCUUCUACGAGGGCUGACUUUAUCUCCGGAGAUAGCUCGAUGGGUUCGAUCACAUGCUCUGUUCUGUAAUUUGUUUCUUCGUUGAGGUUGAAUCGAAGAACAGAGGUCGGAGACCAGAGGCUCUGUAGUGGAUUUGUUUACCAUCAUCUACCUUUUUUUCUGAAACUUUACCAUCAUCUACCUUUCAACAACUUUUCGAUUUGUUUUAUCUUUGCCAAUGGGGUUGGGAAUCAUAAUAUGAUAUGACUUAUUUGAUACUCUUCCUACUUAUUCUCUUUUAUGCUUCAGUUGCGGGAUCAGUUGCGGGAUUCAGUGAGAAAAUAAUAAUUUUGGUUUUGAUUCAUCAAUCGAAGAUUCAUAUUUUGAUUUUUGUGUGUUUUUGCUUUUUUUUCUCUUAGUAUUAGGAUUAUUGUGACUUAACAACAAUGUGAUAAUGGGAGCAUCUGAAGGAAGAAGAGCAAUAGAGCAUUGUAACAAAGAACAUCACGUCGUGCUUUGUUUUUUUUCUGAAACUUUUUUUUUUUAAAAGGUUGGUCAAAUGGUGAAUAAAUAAACCAAGUGAGCUUACUGCUACGUGGGGAGUCCAGUUUCACAUCAAUGGGUUAAAAUCCCUCCACCUCCCUCUGAUCCUCAAGGUGAUUCUAGGUACCGUAUAUGGUUUAAUGACUCGCUUGGACGAGGACGGUGUCGUUUUGAGCUUUAAAGUGAUUAGGAUAGCUUCUUCGAGUUGAUUCACACGCCCGCGAUUAGCUAUCUAAAGCAAUUUAACAGGGAUGGAGUUCUGCUUUUAAGGAGAUUAGAUUCAAGAUUGUCUAAAGACUUACCCUCUGAUCUCCAGAAGCUCCGUUGUAAGGCAGCGUUUGAAGCACUGAAGUUCUCGCCAAGGGUUAUGGAGAUAUGGAAGAAGCUUGCAGAAAGGAUGAGGAGCAAAUGUCCUUACAUUGCCCUUCAUCUUCGACUUGAGAAAGACGUGUGGGUGAUAACAAGCUGCCUUACUGGUUUGAGCUCAAAGUAUGAUGAGAUUGCAAGACUAGAAGGGAUUAAGCGGCCUGAGCUCUUAACAGCCAAAUCUAGCAUGACACCUAAUGAGAGGAAACUUGCAGGUCUCUGUCCGUUAAAUGCCAAGGAAGUUACAAGGUUAUUGAGUGAGCUACUGUUUUUCUUUACAACAAAUACGAUAUUGUACUGCCCCAUGAACUCAAACCUUUCGCAAAACGAGCUUCGAUAAUGGCAGCAAUCGACUAUAUAGUAUGCAAGGAGAGUGAUGUGUUCAUGGCAUCUCAUGGAGGAAACAUGGGCUGCGCAAUUCAGGGUCACAGAGCUUAUGAAGGACAUAAGAAGCUUAUAACACCAAACAAAAGGCAAAUGCUCCCAUACUUUUUGAACAAAACAAUGACUGAGACAGAGUCUGAGAAGAUGAUGAAGAAAUUUCACAGUCAAUCUCUAGGACAGCGAGAGAUAAGGGUUAGCAAAGCUGGAAGAGUUGUUACAAAGUAUCCUGUUCCUGAGUGUAUGUGCAUUAAUAAUC